Molecule: ribosomal RNA, 1005 nt
Filed under: Nostocaceae cyanobacterium V.40.a
Lineage: Bacteria; Bacillati; Cyanobacteriota; Cyanophyceae; Nostocales; Nostocaceae
Description: bacterial SSU rRNA
Rfam family: Bacterial small subunit ribosomal RNA
Source: RNAcentral
GGCUCUUGGGUUGUAAACCUCUUUUCUCAGGGAAUAAAAAAAUGAAGGUACCUGAGGAAUAAGCAUCGGCUAACUCCGUGCCAGCAGCCGCGGUAAUACGGAGGAUGCAAGCGUUAUCCGGAAUGAUUGGGCGUAAAGGGUCCGCAGGUGGCAUUGUAAGUCUGCUGUCAAAGAAUGAGGCUCAACCUCAUCAAGGCAGUGGAAACUACAAAGCUAGAGUGCGUUCGGGGUAGCAGGAAUUCCUGGUGUAGCGGUGAAAUGCGUAAAGAUCAGGAAGAACACCGGUGGCGAAAGCGUGCUACUAGGCCGUAACUGACGCUGAGGGGACGAAAGCUAGGGGAGCGAAUGGGAUUAAAUACCCCAGAAGUCCUAGGGGUUAACGAUGGAUACUAGGCGUGGCUUGUAUCGGCUCAAUCGCGUGCUGGAGCUAACGCGUUAAAUAUCCCCGCGGGGAGUACGCACGCAAGUGUGAAACUCAAAGGAAUUGACGGGGGCCCGCACAAGCGGUGGAGUAUGUGGUUUAAUUCGAUGCAGCGCGAAAAACCUUACCAAGACUUGACAUGUCGCGAAUUUCCUUGAAAGGGAAAAGUGCCUUCGGGAGCGCGAACACAGGUGGUGGAUGGUUGUCUGACCUCGUGUGGGAGAUGUUGGGUUAAGUCCCGCAACGAGCGCAACCCUCGUUUUUAGUUGCCAGCAUUAAGUUGGGCACUCUAGAGAGACUGCCGGUGACAAACCGGAGGAAGGUGGGGAUGACGUCAAGUCAGCAUGCCCCUUACGUCUUGGGCUACACACGUACUACAAUGCUACGGACAGAGGGCAGCUAAACAGCGAUGUCAAGCAAAUCCCGUAAACCGUAGCUCAGUUCAGAUCGCAGGCUGCAACUCGCCUGCGUGAAGGAGGAAUCGCUAGUAAUUGCAGGUCAGCAUACUGCAGUGAAUUCGUUCCCGGGCCUUGUACACACCGCCCGUCACACCAUGGAAGCUGGCAACGCCCGAAGUCAUUACU